This is a long non-coding RNA of Schistocerca nitens (vagrant locust), 3369 nucleotides long. RefSeq lists it as uncharacterized. The record is from RefSeq and is a predicted model, not a curated record. The transcript has 3 exons. Lineage: Eukaryota; Metazoa; Arthropoda; Insecta; Orthoptera; Acrididae.
AUGAAGCACUAGACAUUUUCAAGGACUGGAACAAGGAUUGGAAUCCCCUCUAUUGGGUUACUGAUUUCUCGGAUUCAGAGAUAAAUGCAAUUGAGCAAGCAUUCCCUCAGACAAAAGUUUACUUGUGCCUUUUCCAUCGAAAACAGGCAUGGGGAAGAUGGUUGAAAAAAAAAGGAUAAUCUAAGUGUACCAAAUGACGUGAAGACAUUUCUGGAUAUGUGGCAAGAAAUUUCAGAAUCACCAACAGAGAGAGAAUUUAGAGAUCGCGUAGAAGAGUUGCGAACGCAUGAGGUUUCUCGGAGAAACGAGCGUGCAUGGCCAUACUUUCAACAGCAAUGGCUAACGGUAUGUGAAAGAUGGGUGAAAGCGUAUGAGGACAAGGGCAGAUUUGCAACUAUUGACACUACAAAUGGAGUUGAAGCCAUGAACAAGAUUGUAAAACAUUUUUUUUCCUAAAACACAAUUCAGACAGGACUUUAACUGGGGUUACUAAGGUUAUAAUAAACCAGUUUCUUCCAAGCCUAAUUAGAAAGUACUGUCUGCAGAAUUCCGCCAUCAAAGCUUAUAACAAAGAUGUUCCACUGUUUUUGCAUAAAAAAACAAACAAGUUUGUGAAACAUGUCAUGCAGCGAUAUGCAUCAGCAAAAGUUGAGUUAACUGCAAGAUCAGUGAGUAGGAGAUCGGAUGGUUCAUUUUGUGUGGAGAGUGCAAAGUCCAAAAACUGUAAUUAUGUUGUAAACUUUGAUAUACCAGAUUGCACAUGUGAAGAUUUUUGGAGAUAUAAAUACCCAUGCAAGCAUUUCUGUGCAAUCUUUAUUUUUUACCCAGAGUGGGGUUUUGAUAAAAUGCCAGAAAGUUAUAUGACUAGUCCAUUAAUCUGUCUUGAUGAAAUGUAUGGGGUGGGCUUUAGAAGUGGCUCUUCAGUAAUUUCAUAUGAAGGCAGUAGUAGUGACGAAGCUGUUGAGGAGGCAGUUGAAGCAGCUGAGGAGGCUGUCGAGGUUGAGGAGGCUGUCGAGGCAGCAAAUACAGAUGGUGUUGUUCAAACCCAGAAUAUUCCUUUGCAGCAGUUUGAAGCAAGGGAGCUGUGUAACAGAUUUACAAUCUCACAUACAACUGCAGCAACAGCGAAACAUUACAAAAAGUACUUGAAUCACUGAGCAACUGUGUGCAAGAUUUGCAUUUAGCAAAUCCUGAAGUUGGUGGUCUCCCAUUGGCAGUGCCAUCAACUUCCAAACAAUAGCGAAGAACGAUGCCAAAAGCCUUACAAGAUCUGUCUUAAACACAUUAUAACUUCCCAUUUGAAGGGUAAGAAAUGAUGGUUUAUUUGAAUUUUAGAUAGCUCUUUGUCUAUGUAAAAUACAAAUAAGCUCCGUCAUUUCUGAUCCUCGAGAUGGAAUGCUGUGAGGUCUUUAUGUUGGUCUCUGCUUUUAAACUUUGUUGCACAUUUGAAUUUCGAAGUAGCAGUAGAUAAAAUAUUAUAAAAAGGAUAGUUGCUACAUUUGUGUGUGUGUGUGUGUGUGUGUGUGUUUGUGAGUGAGUGAGUGUGCGCGCGCGCUUUUGAAAAGGCCCUUGUUGCCUGAAAGAUAAGUCCGACAGUCUUUUUGUUGUGCCUUUCUGUGAUUCAGCAUCUUCACCAUUUGGUGGGCAGCAACAACUAUCCUUUUCAUAACAUUGUUACAUUCCAUCCUGGAUUUUUCGUUGUUCAUCAGAGAAAAGAUUUUUCUGAGGAAUUAAACUAGAUGGUAGUGUAGAACUUGCAAACUUUUUAAAAUAUGAAGUAAAAGAUUUUGACUUUAAAUUAGGUUAAUUCAAAUAUGAGACAAUGUUGAGAAUUGAAAAGGUGGAAAAAAUAAAUAAGAUAUAUCUUAGUGGCAUUGAGAUGUCGUAUGACUGAUGGAGGAAAGAUUUUGCAUUUCUUUUUCCAAGUAAGAAUGCACUUGCUCUCACUUGCUUCAAUACAUGUCUAGUGAUUCACGUGAAACAGAGAAAAAGAUAGACUGCCCUGUUAAUGAACAUGAGAUUGCCCAGUAUCACUCUGACAGAAGAGUAUGGUGUUUCCUUGAUAUGGUAUCUGGUCAGCAAUGUCAUUGGGACCAAAUGAAAGUUACUGCAGAUACCACACAGAAGCAAUUACUGUUACUGGAAUACCAGUAAUGUUUAUUAAAUUCAGUUGUAAAGUAGUUCUGGGCAUUGCAGCUGGUGAGCAAUGUCAUUGGGCACCAAAAGAAGUUCAGUUAUGAUGGAUUUCUGGCCUUCAGUCCAUGGGAAAAUUCACACCAGAUUGCAUCAAGACUGUUAUAUUCCAAGGAUAUCUUGGAAGAUUGAUAGUAUUCCUGAACGAAAACAAUCCAUAUAGUAUUUCACGUGUGUAUCAAACUGCCAUUUGUUGUGGCACGUAAAUGUUUGCAACUUGAUUGUAAUUUUUGAACAGUUUCUCAACAAUCCAAGAAUUUCUUGUAAUGAGAAGUAGACAUUGUUGCUUGGGUAAAGGAAAUACAAAUCACGGUCAAUAUAACUACCUUAUUAACUUUCCACAGAGAAAUAUUUUUCACUACUGCUACUUAAAAAUUCAAAUGUGUGACAAAGUUUGCUUACAGAACUUGGCAUAAAGAUCUCCCUUAUUUGUAUUUUUUAGGUAGCUCUUAUUGUUUGAUCCUUCAAAUGGAAUGCUGUGACCUCCAUGUGAUCUAUUCCUUAGUAGUUAAUUAUCCAUUAAGGCACAAAUAUAUGAACAUUACAAUGAGAGGGGUCUUUAUGCCAGGCCCUGUAAAAGUAAUGGCAUCUUACUUAAUAUUAUUGUUGGGAAUUUGAUGGCACAGCUGUGGGGAGACCACAAAUUUCAGGGUUUGCUAACUGCAAAUCUGGCACACAGUUGCUGAGUGAUUCAAGUACUUUUCAUAAUGUUUCACUGUUGAUACAGUUGUAUGUGAGAUUAUAAACCUGUUUGAACAACACCUUCACUUCAAAUUGCUGCAAAGAAAUGGUUACGGUAUCAGUGUGAUGCUCUAUAUGUGUUUCCUCAACUGUGUCCUCAUUGCUACUGUCUUCAUGUGAAAUUACUGCAGACACACUUCUGAAACCAAACCUGUACAUCUUGUGAAGACAGAUUAAUGGGCUAUUCCUGCAGCUUUCUGGUAUUUUAUCAAAACCCCACUCUGGAUAGAAAAUAAAGAUUGCACAGAAAUGCUUGCAUGGGUAUUUAUAUAUCUCAAAAUCUUCACAUGCGCAGUUUGGUAGAGCAAAGCUUACAACAUAAUUAGUCUUUGAACAUUGUACUCUCCAUACAAAACAUUGUCCAAGUUCACAUUCACUUAUCUUGCAGUUAAUUCAACUUUCCCUGGUGCAUAUCACUGCAUGACAUGUUUCACA